UGGACAACAAGGAAACGGCCAACUCUAA
This 28-nucleotide non-coding RNA is filed under the name Rattus norvegicus (Norway rat). Lineage: Eukaryota; Metazoa; Chordata; Mammalia; Rodentia; Muridae. The record is from RNAcentral.